CAGAAUUGGAGGAGAGUUUCCGGAUGAGCUACCUCCUCGCUUAUUUUCUCAUACUCAAGGUGCCAGUGCACAAUACUUCCAGGGCCUCCAAGCUUCGGGGUCACCUGGAUCGUGAGCAAGAAGCUCUUGUACUCUUUCAUCAGAUCACCGUCGAUAACCCUAAACGUGAUCAAGUUCUUAUUCGGCUCCACUGCCUCAAUCCUCUCCUUAGCCACCUUUGCCUCUCUAUCUGCACCAAUUAUUUAACAAUUGAUAUUAUAUGUUUAACUUUGAGACAUGGUUAUACAUGAACAAGAUGUAUAUAACAUUGACUUGCCAUGAACGUAGUUCCAGAAGACGAUAGAGCCGACUUGACCCCAGUCGCCUUCGUGAAGAUCACAACCUUGAAUGUUUCCUGGAGAUGCUUUAGAGACAUGGUGUGGUUUCCCGGCGAACAUGUGAUGGAACUUCUCAGCGGAAGCUUUGAUCUCCACGUCUGUCUCUAGCUUUCCCACCAAACUAGGCGUCUCUGGUGUCUUCACCUCCUCUUCCUCGGCCAAGAGAUGUUCGUCGAUCUCUUUGGAGACCUCGACACAGAACUGGAGGAGAGUUUCCGGGUGAGCUACCUCCUCGCUAAUUUUCUCAUACUCAAG
Molecule: long non-coding RNA, 632 nt
Filed under: Arabidopsis thaliana (thale cress)
Lineage: Eukaryota; Viridiplantae; Streptophyta; Magnoliopsida; Brassicales; Brassicaceae
Description: long non-coding RNA (ATHA_LNC000629)
Source: RNAcentral